CUACGGGGUGCUGCAGUGAGGAAUAUUGCACAAUGGGGGAAACCCUGAUGCAGCAACGCCGCGUGGAGGAUGACGCAUUUCGGUGUGUAAACUCCUUUUAUCAGAGAAGAAGAUGACGGUAUCUGAUGAAUAAGCUCCGGCUAACUCCGUGCCAGCAGCCGCGGUAAUACGGAGGGAGCAAGCGUUAUUCGGAAGCACUGGGCGUAAAGGACGCGUAGGCGGGUUAGAAAGUCAGGUGGUGAAAGCCAACAGCUCAACUGUUGAACAGCACUUGAAACUCCUAACCUAGAGUAUGGAAGGGGCAGAUGGAAUUAGUGGUGUAGGGGUAAAAUCCGUAGAUAUCACUAGGAAUACCGAAAGCGAAAGCGAUCUGCUGGGACAUUACUGACGCUGAGGCGUGAAAGCGUGGGGAGCAAACAGGAUUAGAUACCCGCGUAGUC
Molecule: ribosomal RNA, 440 nt
Filed under: uncultured bacterium
Lineage: Bacteria
Description: partial 16S ribosomal RNA
Rfam family: Bacterial small subunit ribosomal RNA
Source: RNAcentral